UUUUUGGUAAACAGGCGGGGUUCUUGUUUGCCGAGUUCCUUUUAUCUUUUUGGAUCUUUCCUUUAGGCAUUCCGGUGUUGGGUUAACAGAGAAGUUAUAGGUGGAUUAUUUAUAGUGUGAUUAUUGCCUAUAGUCUGAUUAACUAACAAUGGUUAUCCGAGUUGUUAUACGCGUAUGUCUGGAGAAUUGGAAUUCUUGUUACUCAUACUAACAGUGUUGCAUCUAUAAAGUUAUAGAUUAACCCAAUUUUAAGUUUAGGAAGUUGGUGUAAAUUAUGGAAUUAAUUGAAAUUUUAUGUUGAGCUUGAACGCUUUCUUUAUUGGUGGCUGCUUUUAGGCCUACAAUGGUUAAAAGCUGUUUUGUUAAUUAUUCACUAUUAAAGGUUUUUUCCGUUCCAGAAGAGCUGUCCCUCUUUUGGCUAUAAUCUAAACUUACUUUUUGAUUUUGUUGUUUUUUUAGCAAGUUUAAAAUUGAACUUAAAUUCAUUUUUUGGGUAACCAGCUAUCACCAAGCUCGUUAGGCUUUUGACCUCUACCUAAAAAUCUUCUCACUAUUUUGCCACAUAGACGAGUUGAUUCAUAAAAUUGUUUUUAGGUAGCUCGUUUGGUUUCGGGGUUUCUAGCUGUAAUUCUUUUAGUUAGAAGUUUUCUAGUUAGUUCAUUAUGCAAAAGGUACAAGGUUUAAUCUUUGCUUGUUCUUACUUUUAAUUAGUCUUUCAUCUUUCCCUUGCGGCACUAAUCCUAGCCCUAGCCCUACACAAAUAUAAUUAUACUAUUAUAUAAAUCAAAACAUUUAUCCUACUAAAAGUAUUGGAGAAAGAAAUUCGUACAUCUAGGAGCUAUAGAACUAGUACCGCAAGGGAAAGAUGAAAGACUAAUUAAAAGUAAGAACAAGCAAAGAUUAAACCUUGUACCUUUUGCAUAAUGAACUAACUAGAAAACUUCUAACUAAAAGAAUUACAGCUAGAAACCCCGAAACCAAACGAGCUACCUAAAAACAAUUUUAUGAAUCAACUCGUCUAUGUGGCAAAAUAGUGAGAAGAUUUUUAGGUAGAGGUCAAAAGCCUAACGAGCUUGGUGAUAGCUGGUUACCCAAAAAAUGAAUUUAAGUUCAAUUUUAAACUUGCUAAAAAAACAACAAAAUCAAAAAGUAAGUUUAGAUUAUAGCCAAAAGAGGGACAGCUCUUCUGGAACGGAAAAAACCUUUAAUAGUGAAUAAUUAACAAAACAGCUUUUAACCAUUGUAGGCCUAAAAGCAGCCACCAAUAAAGAAAGCGUUCAAGCUCAACAUAAAAUUUCAAUUAAUUCCAUAAUUUACACCAACUUCCUAAACUUAAAAUUGGGUUAAUCUAUAACUUUAUAGAUGCAACACUGUUAGUAUGAGUAACAAGAAUUCCAAUUCUCCAGACAUACGCGUAUAACAACUCGGAUAACCAUUGUUAGUUAAUCAGACUAUAGGCAAUAAUCACACUAUAAAUAAUCCACCUAUAACUUCUCUGUUAACCCAACACCGGAAUGCCUAAAGGAAAGAUCCAAAAAGAUAAAAGGAACUCGGCAAACAAGAACCCCGCCUGUUUACCAAAAACAUCACCUCUAGCAUUACAAGUAUUAGAGGCACUGCCUGCCCAGUGACUAAAGUUUAACGGCCGCGGUAUCCUGACCGUGCAAAGGUAGCAUAAUCACUUGUUCCUUAAUUAGGGACUAGCAUGAACGGCUAAACGAGGGUCCAACUGUCUCUUAUCUUUAAUCAGUGAAAUUGACCUUUCAGUGAAGAGGCUGAAAUAUAAUAAUAAGACGAGAAGACCCUAUGGAGCUUAAAUUAUAUAACUUAUCUAUUUAAUUUAUUAAACCUAAUGGCCCAAAAACUAUAGUAUAAGUUUGAAAUUUCGGUUGGGGUGACCUCGGAGAAUAAAAAAUCCUCCGAAUGAUUAUAACCUAGACUUACAAGUCAAAGUAAAAUCAACAUAUCUUAUUGACCCAGAUAUAUUUUGAUCAACGGACCAAGUUACCCUAGGGAUAACAGCGCAAUCCUAUUUAAGAGUUCAUAUCGACAAUUAGGGUUUACGACCUCGAUGUUGGAUCAGGACAUCCCAAUGGUGUAGAAGCUAUUAAUGGUUCGUUUGUUCAACGAUUAAAGUCCUACGUGAUCUGAGUUCAGACCGGAGCAAUCCAGGUCGGUUUCUAUCUAUUUACGAUUUCUCCCAGUACGAAAGGACAAGAGAAAUAGAGCCACCUUACAAAUAAGCGCUCUCAACUUAAUUUAUGAAUAAAAUCUAAAUAAAAUAUAUACGUACACCC
This 2297-nucleotide unclassified non-coding RNA is filed under the name Mus musculus (house mouse). RNAcentral's name for it is "partial chimeric 16S ribosomal RNA". The stretch from base 812 to 2203 matches the Rfam family "Bacterial large subunit ribosomal RNA". Lineage: Eukaryota; Metazoa; Chordata; Mammalia; Rodentia; Muridae. The record is from RNAcentral.